CAGUAGCCGCGGGAAUACGAAGGGUGCAAGCGUUACUCGGAAUUACUGGGCGUAAAGCGUGCGUAGGUGGUGGUUUAAGUCCGUUGUGAAAGCCCUGGGCUCAACCUGGGAAUUGCAGUGGAUACUGGGUCACUAGAGUGUGGUAGAGGAUAGUGGAAUUUCCGGUGUAGCAGUGAAAUGCGUAGAGAUCGGAAGGAACAUCUGUGGCGAAGGCGACUAUCUGGACCAACACUGACACUGAGGCACGAAAGCGUGGGGAGCAAACAGGAUUAGAUACCCCCGUAGUCCCUGUCUCUUAUAC
Molecule: ribosomal RNA, 301 nt
Filed under: uncultured bacterium
Lineage: Bacteria
Description: partial 16S ribosomal RNA
Rfam family: Bacterial small subunit ribosomal RNA
Source: RNAcentral